Molecule: ribosomal RNA, 102 nt
Filed under: Escherichia coli
Lineage: Bacteria; Pseudomonadati; Pseudomonadota; Gammaproteobacteria; Enterobacterales; Enterobacteriaceae
Also listed under: 18 other names
Description: partial 16S ribosomal RNA
Rfam family: Bacterial small subunit ribosomal RNA
Source: RNAcentral
AAAUUGAAGAGUUUGAUCAUGGCUCAGAUUGAACGCUGGCGGCAGGCCUAACACAUGCAAGUCGAACGGUAACAGGAAGCAGCUUGCUGCUUUGCUGACGAG